GAUCCUGGCUCAGGAUGAACGCUGGCGGCAUGCCUAAUACAUGCAAGUCGAACGAGAGGAAGGAAAGCUUGCUUUUCUGAAUCUAGUGGCGAACGGGUGAGUAACACGUAGGUAACCUGCCCAUGUGCCCGGGAUAACUUCUGGAAACGGAUGCUAAAAACCGGAUAGGUAGCAGACAAGCAUUUGACUGCUAUUAAAGUGGCUAAGGCCAUGAACAUGGAUGGACCUGCGGUGCA
This 236-nucleotide ribosomal RNA is filed under the name uncultured bacterium. RNAcentral's name for it is "partial 16S ribosomal RNA". It matches the Rfam family "Bacterial small subunit ribosomal RNA", at positions 15 to 240 of the family's 1533-position model. The record is from RNAcentral.